Molecule: ribosomal RNA, 558 nt
Filed under: Rhodotorula taiwanensis
Lineage: Eukaryota; Fungi; Basidiomycota; Microbotryomycetes; Sporidiobolales; Sporidiobolaceae
Description: LSU rRNA
Rfam family: Eukaryotic large subunit ribosomal RNA
Source: RNAcentral
CGAGCGAAGCGGGAAGAGCUCAAAUUUAUAAUCUGGCACCUUCGGUGUCCGAGUUGUAAUCUCUAGAAGUGUUUUCCGCGUUGGACCGCACACAAGUCUGUUGGAAUACAGCGGCAUAGUGGUGAGACCCCCGUAUAUGGUGCGGACGCCCAACGCUUUGUGAUACACUUUCGAAGAGUCGAGUUGUUUGGGAAUGCAGCUCAAAUUGGGUGGUAAAUUCCAUCUAAAGCUAAAUAUUGGCGAGAGACCGAUAGCGAACAAGUACCGUGAGGGAAAGAUGAAAAGCACUUUGGAAAGAGAGUUAACAGUACGUGAAAUUGUUGGAAGGGAAACGCUUGAAGUCAGACUUGCUUGCCGAGCAAUCGGUUUGCAGGCCAGCAUCAGUUUUCCGGGGUGGAUAAUGGUAGAGAGAAGGUAGCAGUUUCGGCUGUGUUAUAGCUCUUUGCUGGAUACACCUUGGGGGACUGAGGAACGCAGUGUGCCUUACGGCGGAUUUCUCGAGAUCUUCACACUUAGGAUGCUGGUGGAAUGGCUUUAAACGACCCGUCUUGAAACACG